RNAcentral lists this long non-coding RNA (552 nucleotides) under Pongo abelii (Sumatran orangutan). RNAcentral's name for it is "lincRNA". The record is from RNAcentral. Lineage: Eukaryota; Metazoa; Chordata; Mammalia; Primates; Hominidae.
AAAUGACACAUGCUGUGCUGGUUUCUGAAAAUCAAGAAGCCUGGAGAGAAAUUUAUGACUUUGAAACAAAAUUUAGAGGUUGAAGGAUUUAGCAGUUUGCAAAGAACAUGGAGCUAAGCCCUUGAAAAAGGCUGUUCAAAAAGUCCUGGCCUAAAGUGCCAAGGUCGUUUUCAGAAGUCUCCGCAGAAGCUCUUAGGAAUCUGAAAGCGUAAAAAUGGGGAGAGAGUAUUUUGAAGAUAUCUUUCCCCCGAAAGCUGGUGCUCGUGAGCCUGUGCAUUUUCCCACACGAAUAUGCUCGGCCGUUAUGUUAGCCAGGCAUUUCCUGCAUGUGGCAGUUCUGGAGGCCAGAAGUCCAGGGUCAAGGUGCAGUGGAUUCAUUUCCUGGUGAGGACCCUCUUCCUGGUUUGUACAUGUGAUUCCUAGAAGUCUCCAGUUUGAAGUUCUCUUGUCCUUUGACCAAGCGUCCAGUACAUCCUCACAACACUCCAAAGCCACCUUGAAGACUCUCUUCAAAGCAGUUCUUACUGUUGAUACCACCACCAUUGUUCCUGA